Molecule: ribosomal RNA, 204 nt
Filed under: Halomonas sp. CA2-2I
Lineage: Bacteria; Pseudomonadati; Pseudomonadota; Gammaproteobacteria; Oceanospirillales; Halomonadaceae
Description: partial 16S ribosomal RNA
Rfam family: Bacterial small subunit ribosomal RNA
Source: RNAcentral
GAAUCGCUAGUAAUCGUGGAUCAGAAUGUCACGGUGAAUACGUUCCCGGGCCUUGUACACACCGCCCGUCACACCACGAGAGUUGGUAACACCCGAAGUCGGUGAGGUAACCUUUUGGAGCCAGCCGCCGAAGGUGGGACCAAUGAUUGGGGUGAAGUCGUAACAAGGUAGCCGUAUCGGAAGGUGCGGCUGGAUCACCUCCUU